GUAGGUGAACCUGCGGAAGGGUCAUUAACACGUUUGAAAACGUUUCUUAUGAACCAUUUCAAUUUUCUGUGCACCCCUCGAAACCGGCCUCCUGAGCCGUCCUCCGGGUUUACUCGGUGUGACGUGUUUGGGCGUCUUUGGGAGUCACAAAACUCGGCGGCGGGAGAACUUGAGCCUCCUCUUUGUGGGAGACUUUUGAGAACUCUGCUGCUGUUGUUUUGCCUGAAGGCGUUGCCACAACCACAACCCUUUAACCUGUAUGUCUGAACUCUGAAGUUGGCGAACUUUACCGUUUGCCAGCGACUUUAAAAAUCAAUAACAACUCUUAACAACGGAUAUCUUGGUUCUC
Molecule: unclassified non-coding RNA, 349 nt
Filed under: rhizosphere metagenome
Description: partial ribosomal RNA internal transcribed spacer region
Source: RNAcentral